Molecule: ribosomal RNA, 207 nt
Filed under: uncultured bacterium
Lineage: Bacteria
Description: partial 16S ribosomal RNA
Rfam family: Bacterial small subunit ribosomal RNA
Source: RNAcentral
AGUGUAGGCGGGUGUGUAAGUCCGGUGUGAAAGCCCUCGGCUCAACCGAGGAAGGCCGUCGGAAACUGCGCGCCUUGAGUGCGGGAGGGGAGAGUGGAACUCUUGGUGGAGCGGUGAAAUGCGUAGAUAUCAAGAGGAACGCCGGUGGCGAAAGCGGCUCUCUGGCCCGUAACUGACGCUGAGGCUCGAAAGCCAGGGGAGCAAACG